AAACAUUCAGAACUAAUGUUUCUUAAGUUUUUAUGUUUCCCUUGUAAAGAGAAACAUUGAGUCCUUUUUGAGAGCUCUGCUUAUAGAAUUUAGCAAAUAAGUUUUAAAAUAUUUUAAGAUUUAUGAUGCUGUAAUAAGAUACUUUUUCUUAGUGGAAUGUCUUCAAGGGCAGGUAUUGUACUUCCUCAAAUUAUCACAGUCUUUUCAGUGCUGUAUGAAAUUUCUGCUUUUCCUCAUCUUUAUUCUUUCCCCUUUUGUUAUUCUCACUACAGUUUAGUAUAUAUCUUUUUAAUCCAGAUAAUUUUGUAGCAUAUAAUAUUAGCUAUCUCUACAUCACUAAGAAUGUAGAAGUAGUUGAAGUUUGUCUCUUGAACCAGCUGUGGCACUGCAGGAUUAGUGAUGGGGGAAGAAAUGCACUCAAGCACAGAAGAAAGCUGGGAGAAAGUUUCACGACGGUUUAGCUACACAUCUGUACAGUGCUCUGGUAGUGGGAUAGAUUGUGCUGUAGUCAAAUACUGAACAAGAAAUCUUUGUCUACAUAUGUGGAAGGUUUAUGCUGGCUUUUAUGUGAGACUACCUGUACGAAUUUAGCCUGUCAAAAAUACUGAAUAUAUUUGAAUUGCAGAAUGAGUUUCGACUGGCUCAGUGCUUUGUAGCAUGUGGCUAUAGCACCUUUGAUUUGGGUGCAGCAAGGCCUGCACCACUGGAGUACAGCGUGAGGUUGUGCCCGCAGCAACACUGGCAGACCCUGUGCUGAGCCCCUUGCUGCACCCUGCUAGUAAGGAGCUGUUCUGUUUCUGAUUUAGCCAGCCCUUAUCUUUCGGAGUGAUGCAAGGAACAAAAAUAUGAUGUGCUGGUACUGCCUGAUGUAGUUAGCUACUGUAUAUAUUGCUCCCAAAUUACUUUUCCUUAUUCAUUACUACCUUGUACGUGUUUUGCAUUCAGUUUACUCUCUGACCUUCCCUAGCUUGGCCUGUACUAUAUUUUUCUCUGUACCAUUUCCUUUAAAGUUCCAAAUCUGCUAUUGUCUUCAUCAACCUUAUCCAGUCAUUCUUCUCUUUUAUUUAACAGCAUUUGAAAUUGUACAACCUGGUUUUUCCCAACUGCUCACUGAGAUGGGGGCACAUGGCUACCUCUGCUGCAUGUUGCCUGGCCAUGGCCUCAGCACGACUCGGCCCCACACCUGCCUCAGUGUUCUCUCCUUUGCGCUAUUCCCAGUCUUAUUUUCUCUCUUUAAUACAUUCCCCCCACCUCUUCUUUUAUCUGUUCAGUGCACAUUGCUCCAUGAGGCAGAUUUCAUCAUCUAGCUCUGCAUUUUAAGCGAUGCAGGAUUUUAAAAUAUGGUGAGUAUCUACAUUGGCACUGCUGUGUGUGGAUAGGGAGAGUUCUGUUAUUGGCAGAAAGAGUGACAUAGCAUCAGGUGCACAGACAGGAGGAGGAAAAAAAAAAGAGCAGACUUGUAUGUUUAGGUAACAGCAAAUUGUCCUUAACACAGUUUUCCUUUAUGUUGAGCCUGCAGCCUGAGAGCAGUAUACACGUGCAUGUCUCUAAAUAAUGAACUGAUCAUUUACAGCUCUCUUCUAAAAAUGAAUAAAUAAAAAUAAUACCAGCCCUAGCUUUUCCGU
Chrysolophus pictus (golden pheasant) is the source of this 1625-nucleotide long non-coding RNA. The record is from Ensembl. Lineage: Eukaryota; Metazoa; Chordata; Aves; Galliformes; Phasianidae.